Molecule: ribosomal RNA, 526 nt
Filed under: uncultured microeukaryote
Lineage: Eukaryota
Description: bacterial SSU rRNA
Rfam family: Eukaryotic small subunit ribosomal RNA
Source: RNAcentral
GCCAGUAGUCAUAUGCUUGUCUCAAAGAUUAAGCCAUGCAUGUCUAAGUAUAACAACUCGUACUUGUGAAACUGCGAACGGCUCAUUAAAUCAGUUAUAGUUUAUUUGAUGGUAACCUUCUUACAUGGAUAACCGUAGGAAAAUAGAGCUAAUACAUGCCAAGAGACCCGACUUUAUGGAAGGGUUGUAUUUAUUAGAUAGAAAACCAAAUAUUAUUUGGAGGAAUCAUAAUAACUAGACUAAUCGUAUGUCUUCGCGACGACGAUGCUUCAUUCAAAUUUCUGCCCUAUCAACUUUCGAUGGUAGUAUAGAGGACUACCAUGGUGAUAACGGGUAACAGAGAAUUAGGGUUCGAUUCUGGAGAGGGAGCCUGAGAAAUGGCUACCACUUCUAAGGAGGGCAGCAGGCGCGCAAAUUACCCAAUCGUAACACACGGAGGUAGUGACAAGAAAUACCAAUGUGUUUCACAACGUGGAAUGCAAUUGGAAUGAGUACAAUUUAAACCCCUUAACGAGUAGCAAUUAGG